UACGGAGGGGGGCUAGCGUUGUUCGGAAUUACUGGGCGUAAAGCGCACGUAGGCGGCUUUGUAAGUUAGAGGUGAAAGCCCGGGGCUCAACUCCGGAAUUGCCUUUAAGACUGCAUCGCUAGAAUUGUGGAGAGGUGAGUGGAAUUCCGAGUGUAGAGGUGAAAUUCGUAGAUAUUCGGAAGAACACCAGUGGCGAAGGCGACUCACUGGACACAUAUUGACGCUGAGGUGCGAAAGCGUGGGGAGCAAACAGG
Molecule: ribosomal RNA, 254 nt
Filed under: uncultured bacterium
Lineage: Bacteria
Description: partial 16S ribosomal RNA
Rfam family: Bacterial small subunit ribosomal RNA
Source: RNAcentral